UCCGGUUUGACACCGGCAGUCUCCCUAGAGUGCCCGGCUUUACCCGCUGGUAACUAGGGACAAGGGUUGCGCUCGUUGCAGGACUUAACCUAACACCUCACGGCACGAGCUGACGACAGCCAUGCAGCACCUGUGCAAGCUGGUCUUGCGACCUCGUCACCCUUUCAGGCUUCUACUACUUGCAUGUCAAGGCCAGGUAAGGUUCUUCGCGUUGCGUCGAAUUAAACCACAUGCUCCACCGCUUGUGCGGGCCCCCGUCAAUUCCUUUGAGUUUCAACCUUGCGGUCGUACUCCCCAGGCGGGGUACUUCCUGCGUUAGCGCCGGCACCCAGAGGGUCGCUCCCCCAGGCACCUAGUACCCAUCGUUUACGGCGUGGACUAC
Molecule: unclassified non-coding RNA, 382 nt
Filed under: uncultured bacterium
Lineage: Bacteria
Description: contains 16S-23S intergenic spacer region
Source: RNAcentral